This is a long non-coding RNA of Gallus gallus (chicken), 439 nucleotides long. The record is from Ensembl. NCBI's taxonomy places the organism in Eukaryota, Metazoa, Chordata, Aves, Galliformes, Phasianidae.
UGGACAUUCAGAACAAUCUCUGUCCUGAAAAACUUUCUUAUUAUUUAACAUGGACUUCUUUAUUAAGUCGAGGUGCAGCAGUCAUCUAUCCCAAAUGCUACUACAGAUUUCUGGAGAGGAGGCAACCACAGACCCUGCAGCACUGUGAACUCGGGUACGAAAGGAAGCAUGAAUUUGUGAAUCUUUGUAAUACUCAUUACAGUAGUUGAGUACCCUGCAUCAGCAGAUCACUGUGAUGGUAAUAAAUCACUGAAACAGAAUGUGGUUCCUCUAAUUGCUUUCACUUUUUGUGUUGAAUGGACACCUUUCAUCAGCAAUAGCCUGAGCAAAGAUAUUCCUGCCCUGCAAAAUGAGUCUGCGGAGAGAUGUACGUGUUUGCAGUUUUUCGUUCAGUCACAAAGUAAGGAUUAUCUGCUAAUUUGGGCAAAAAGUUUCUCAG